GUUAGAUUGUCAGAUUUAUGUAUUAAAUUUAGAAUUUAAUUAAGUGAUUAUUGUCACAUCUAAUA
This 65-nucleotide transfer RNA is filed under the name Alnetoidia dujuanensis. RNAcentral describes it as "tRNA-Leu". The record is from RNAcentral. Lineage: Eukaryota; Metazoa; Arthropoda; Insecta; Hemiptera; Cicadellidae.